GGGGGGGGGGGGGGGGGGGGGGGGGGGGGGCGGGGCGGGGGGGGGGGGGGGGCGUGGGUGGGGGGCGCGGGUGGCGGACGGGGGAGUGACACGUGAGUAACCUGCCCUUGACUUUGGGAUAACUUCAGGAAACGGGGGCUAAUACCGGAUAGGAGCUCCUGCUGCAUGGUGGGGGUUGGAAAGUUUCGGCGGUUGGGGAUGGACUCGCGGCUUAUCAGCUUGUUGGUGGGGUAGUGGCUUACCAAGGCUUUGACGGGUAGCCGGCCUGAGAGGGUGGCCGGCCACAUUGGGACUGAGAUACGGCCCAGACUCCUACGGGAGGCAGCAGUGGGGAAUAUUGCACAAUGGGCGGAAGCCUGAUGCAGCAACGCCGCGUGCGGGAUGACGGCCUUCGGGUUGUAAACCGCUUUCGCCUGUGACGAAGCGUGAGUGACGGUAAUGGGUAAAGAAGCACCGGCUAACUACGUG
Molecule: ribosomal RNA, 468 nt
Filed under: uncultured bacterium
Lineage: Bacteria
Description: partial 16S ribosomal RNA
Rfam family: Bacterial small subunit ribosomal RNA (bases 48-468)
Source: RNAcentral